Molecule: ribosomal RNA, 221 nt
Filed under: uncultured bacterium
Lineage: Bacteria
Description: partial 16S ribosomal RNA
Rfam family: Bacterial small subunit ribosomal RNA
Source: RNAcentral
ACUCUGGGAUAACUCCGGGAAACCGGGGCUAAUACCGGAUAUGAGCCUUGAUCGCAUGAUCGGGGCUGGAAAGUUUUUCGGUUGAAGAUGACUUCGCGGCCUAUCAGCUUGUUGGUGAGGUAAUGGCUCACCAAGGCGACGACGGGUAGCCGGCCUGAGAGGGCGACCGGCCACACUGGGACUGAGACACGGCCCAGACUCCUACGGGAGGCAGCAGUGGG